RNAcentral lists this ribosomal RNA (524 nucleotides) under uncultured bacterium. RNAcentral describes it as "bacterial SSU rRNA". It matches the Rfam family "Bacterial small subunit ribosomal RNA", at positions 355 to 896 of the family's 1533-position model. The record is from RNAcentral.
UGGGGAAUAUUGCACAAUGGGGGGAACCCUGAUGCAGCGACGCCGCGUGAGUGAAGAAGUAUUUCGGUAUGUAAAGCUCUAUCAGCAGGGAAGAUAAUGACAGUACCUGACUAAGAAGCCCCGGCUAACUACGUGCCAGCAGCCGUGGUAAUACGUAGGGGGCAAGCGUUAUCCGGAUUUACUGGGUGUAAAGGGAGCGUAGACGGAAUGGCAAGUCUGAAGUGAAAUACCCGGGCUCAACCUGGGAACUGCUUUGGAAACUGUUGUUCUAGAGUGUUGGAGAGGUAAGUGGAAUUCCUGGUGUAGCGGUGAAAUGCGUAGAUAUCAGGAAGAACACCGGAGGCGAAGGCGGCUUACUGGACAAUAACUGACGUUGAGGCUCGAAAGCGUGGGGAUCAAACAGGAUUAGAUACCCUGGUAGUCCACGCUGUAAACGAUGAAUACUAGGUGUCGGGGUGCAAAGCAUCUCGGUGCCGUCGCUAACGCAAUAAGUAUUCCACCUGGGGAGUACGUUCGCAAGAAUG